CAGCAGCCGCGGUAAUACGUAGGGUGCAAGCAUUAAUCGGAAUUACCGGGCGUAAAGCGUGCGCAGGCGGUUCUAUAAGGCAGAUGUGAAAUCCCCGGGCUCAACCUGGGAACUGCAUUUGUGACUGUAGAGCUGGAGUGCGGCAGAGGGGGAUGGAAUUCCGCGUGUAGCAGUGAAAUGCGUAGAUAUGCGGAGGAACACCGAUGGCGAAGGCAAUCCCCUGGGCCUGCACUGACGCUCAUGCACGAAAGCGUGGGGAGCAAACAGGAUUAGAUACCCGUGUAGUCCCUGUCUCUUAUAC
This 301-nucleotide ribosomal RNA is filed under the name uncultured bacterium. RNAcentral's name for it is "partial 16S ribosomal RNA". It matches the Rfam family "Bacterial small subunit ribosomal RNA", at positions 509 to 807 of the family's 1533-position model. The record is from RNAcentral.